Molecule: long non-coding RNA, 3829 nt
Organism: Neofelis nebulosa (Clouded leopard)
Lineage: Eukaryota; Metazoa; Chordata; Mammalia; Carnivora; Felidae
Exons: 4
Source: RefSeq, a predicted model, not a curated record
CCUCUUAAUGGUACAGAUAAUCACCUUUAAUUAUCAUGUCUGUCCGUUACCCGAAUCAAAUGUCAACCCUGGGAGGAUAGGGACAGCGUCUGCCUCGUUCAGUUUUGGCCUGCGGACCUCAAACAGGGUUCAGCGGCCAUUUGGUGAAUGAGGAGUAAUAAUAAUCAAAGUGUCCUCAGUGCAGGCUAUGCACCAGUACCGUCGAAAGCCGUUCAUGUACCAAACUCCUUUCAUUCUAUCAUAUUCCAUGAGAGAGGCUGCUGUCCCUGUCUCCAGUCUAGAUAAUGAAACGGAGUCACUGGGAUGUAAAGUGACUUGCCCAAGGGCGCCCUCCUGGGACUUGAACUUGCCCGGACUGAAUUUAGAAUCUUGGUGCUCAGCCGCCUCGCGCGCCACGGGGAUGGACGGAACGUCAGCGGUCCCGGAGCCGUGAUUCUAGAAGGCACACACGUUCAAGUGGUGGGGAGAGACAAAUCGGUAAAAGCAAGAGACGGCAGCACGCGAUGGGGAGCUCCAGGCGUGUGGGAGGGGGGUGUUCCUGUCCUAGGGCUACUGUCACAGACGAUCACAACCUUGGGGGAUUAAGACAACACGGAUUUUCUUCUCGUAACGGUUCUGGAGGCCAGAGUCCACAGUCAGUUUCACGGGGGCUAAAGUCAAGGUGUCAGCAAGGCUGGGCCCUUCUGGGGACUGGAGGGGAGAGUCCGUUCCCUUAGCCUCUGGCUCUGAGUACCCCUCGCGUUCCUGCGUUCGCCGGCUUGUGGUGUCCUCUCCAUCUUCAGGGGACUUCUGCCCCAUCCCUGCUUCUGUCGUGACACUUCCUUGGACUCUAAGCCUCCUCUUUCCCCCCUGGUAAGGACUGUCUAAAGACUUUUGUGGUUACACCGGGCCCACCCAGAUAAUCCCCAUAAUUUGCCCACCUCGAGAGCCUUCACUGAAUCAUACCUUCAAAGUCCGUUUUGCUCUGUAAGGUGAAAAUUCACAGGUUCUGGGGACUAGGACCUGGGCGUAUGUAGGGAGGGGUGUGCUGUUCAGCUGAUUGCAGAGGGUGGUUGGCAAUUUUAAAUAGGUGGUGGGGGAAGGCCUGGCUGAGAAGACAAUGUCUGGCAGACGUGGAGGAACCCGAGUGGUGGCCCAUGGUGACCUCAGGACAGAGCCUUCAGAGAAAGAACAGUCAGCACAGAGCCUGUGGCCGGCGUGUGGCUGGCAUCAUCCGGCAAACGCCGGGAGGUCAGCCUAGCUCGGCUGAGUGGGGGAGGGGGCAACGGUGGGGCAUGAGGUCACAGAGGCCAUGGGGACAGGCCCUCAGGGCUGUGGCAAGGGCCUGGGGUUUUAGUCUCAGUAGGUGGGAGCCAGCGGGCUUCUGAGCAGAGGACAGACAGGAUCUGAUUCGGGUUUUCACAAGCUUUCUCUGGCUGCCAGGUGGAGAACAGUCUGUUGGGCGAGAGUGGAAGAAUGAGGCCUGCUGGGGAACUUUGGCAAGAGCCCAGAUGAGGGAGGCUGGGGAGAGGCUGCGAUGUGCCCCCAGAGUCUCCUUCCAAACCAGAUAAUCCCGGGCCGGCUGCUGCUGAGAGAUCAGGGCCGAGUCCCUCCCCAGGGAACGCUGUUGGCCAAAGGGAGCUGCUUUGCCCAAGGCCACUUUCUUUCCAUGGGAGCCAUCCAUUUCCAAAGACUGCCCUAGAUUCCAGAGACGAGGAGGACCUUCCCACCCGUUCACUUCAGGAAGACCAGGAACCUUCCCCUUUACAUCGCCAUUGGCUGAAUCAGGUCGGCUCUGCUGGCUGCAGACUCGUUCUGUUUAUCAAAGGCUGUAGCAGGUGCAUUAAAACGUAUCAGCCCAGCCCCAGGCAGAUGGAGGCGACACGGAGAGCUUGGAAUCGAAAGGAGCUGCUGAUCACCGUGACCCCAAGAUACACCUGCUUUCUCUUUGUUAAGGAAUUAGACACGAUACUUUCAUCUUUAAAAACAGAUCAAAGAAAGAAAGAAGGAAAGGAAAGGAAGGAAGAAAGGAAGGGAGGAAGGAAGGAAGGAAGGAAGGAAGGAAGGAAGGAAGGAAGAAAAUGCCUGCAAAUCCUUGGUCGUACAUACUUUCUGGUGUUUGACAUCUCCCAGACAUGGUUUGAACUUUGAACAGUCUUAUGGAAAAUUUGAGAUCGUGUAAGAACGGGCUCACCGCUCUCCCCCUGACACUGUAACAGGAACUCAUACUGAUAUUGGCUUAUUAAGUUACAGAGCAUGUGGGUUCCCAUCGGUCAACAGGUGAGUCAGCAAUCCAAAGAGGUCUCCAAGGACCGGAUUCUUUCCAUCUUGGCGUUGUCUUCUGAGUGGACUUCUUUCUGCCCGAGGGAGGAGACCCUCCUGGGGACUGAGGGUCACUUGGGUUCAGAAGAAACAAUCAGGCCGAGGAAAGCUUUGGAAGCUUUCUUAAAGGAGCAAGCAGGAAGUUUUCUAGAAAACUCCAGCAAACCCUUUCCGGAAUCUCCUUGGCCCCAACUGCAUCACAUGUGUGUUCUUGACCAAAUCACUGCCCAGGAAAAUGGCUGGAGUCAGCCCCUCACAGGCCCGUGGAAUGUGAGGGGGACAGGGGCUUCACGAGAAGCCAAGGACCCUUCCCGGGGAGGGUUGGUCAUGGAUGCAGUGGGCAGUCAGUGAUACCCACCGGCUGCCUAGGAAAACCAGCCUCAUCCGCCAGCCUCACCGAAGGAAAACUCUGUUUUCUUCUCCUUACCGCUCGCAUCGAACACUUCUUCCCACACCCCCCAAUUCUGCAGCACAGCUGGGUGUACUGCAAUUCAGUUCAGUUCCGACACUGUCCGCUCUGAGUUAGCGUCAGACCGCACAGGCCAAGGGCUCAGUCCCACAAGGCCACCCCCAUUUCAGACGCUAAUCACAAGUCCUAGGAUGUCACCUGGACUUCUGGCCGACAGGCUGUAAUUUGGGGUUCCCGUGGCCACACUUUGUUGGAUUUGAUAAUUUGCUAGAAUGGACAGAACUCGGGGAAAUACUUCCUUUUGUUUACCAGUUUAUUACAAAGGAUAUAGGAAAGGAUACAGGUGAACAGUGAGAGGAAGAGACACAUAAGGAAGGGUCUGGAAAGGUCCUGAGUGUGGCACUUCUGUCCUUGUGGUGUUGGGGUACCCCAUCCCCCCGCCUGUGGAUGUGUUCACCAGCCCAGAUGCUCUCUGAACCCCAUAGUUUAGGGAUUUUUAUGGAGGCUUUAUCACAUAGGCAUGAUCCGUUAUCAGCUUACGCUGAAAGUUCCAGACUGCUAAUCUUGGCUUGGUCUUUCUGGUGACCAGCUGCCAUCCAGGAGGCCACCGAGAGUCGCUUCAUUAGAACAGAAGACACUCCUAUUGCCCAGGAAAUUCCAAGGGAUUUAGGAGCUCCGUGUCAGAAAGAAGAUCAAAGGCCAAAUAUUAGGACGAACCAGGGAGGCCAUUUUCACAUACCCCUUCUUCCCUAGGGGCUGGUGUCUGAUCCUCGAAAGUAAUUUCACAGAUGUGGAAAUAGAGACGCAGAAAAGCGAUAACUCAUCCAAGUUCCCACAGCCAGUGACGGAGCUGAGCUUCGAGUCCAUGCAGCUUCCCUUGGGACCCCAUCCUUCCUCUUCUGCGGGUGGAAGUAACAAGUACCCUGCUGGGGAAAUCGAGGGCUGAGUCCUCAUAUGUCACAGCGGCCUGUAGGCAACCAAUGUCCCACGCCGUCAGAGGUAGAUGUGGAGCAAACGUACUUCCCAUACAUCGAUGGCGGGAGUGUUAAAUGGUACGGUCACUUGGAAAAACUCUUUGGCCAGCUUUUAAAAUACAAUUUAUUGUCAAAUUGGCUAACA